This is a long non-coding RNA of Episyrphus balteatus (marmalade hoverfly), 509 nucleotides long. RefSeq lists it as uncharacterized. NCBI's taxonomy places the organism in Eukaryota, Metazoa, Arthropoda, Insecta, Diptera, Syrphidae. The record is from RefSeq and is a predicted model, not a curated record. The transcript is spliced from 3 exons.
GCAAAUGAAGGAAGCAUGUUAUUUUAUUUUAUUUAUAGAAAAAUAAAAUACAUUAUUAAGGAACAACAUUACUCAUACAGAUUAGGAAGGAGAAAAUCACAAAAAGAAAAUAAUCAGCUGCGAUUAUAUUGCUCGUAAUUAUCAUCGACACAUUAAUAGAGUACUCGGCUUGUUCGUGUGAAUAAUUUUCAAUUGCUAUUGCCCCCAUUGCUAUAUCGCCAUGACACGCGGACUUCGCGGCCGCAUCAUCAUUGAUUGGGAACAUCUCUUCCAGAAUGACGUAAUUGGUCAGUUCCAUUGGAGCUUCUAUAAUAUGUAUUCCGCCAACUAUCUUACUAUUACAAUGCGAUAACCAUGACGAUAUACUACUAAGUGCUGGGGGUCUAAUUAUUUUCCUUGAUGGUGUUAUGUUGCUGAAUCUGCAAAACUCGGACAAUAUAAAAUGGAAAAGAACGAAAGCGUAUCACUGUGAAAUAUAAAAUAGUACAGGAAGUACAGUUGUAAAUUAG